This 248-nucleotide non-coding RNA is filed under the name Pongo abelii (Sumatran orangutan). Lineage: Eukaryota; Metazoa; Chordata; Mammalia; Primates; Hominidae. The record is from RNAcentral.
GGAAAGGGGAAAUGUCUGAAAUGGAGAUUGUACAAUCCUGUCUUGAAGCAGAAGACUCAGCUAGAGCACAUCUGGAAACACCCGGCAUUCCUCAAUAUAAUUCAAAUGAUAUUUUAAAAGAUGUAAAAUCUGAGCUGCAACACUGAACAAAAGCUGUAUUUGCCAGUCAGCAAAGAUGCUACCACUCUGCACAACAGAUAAAACCCAUAUAUAUAGGGAAGUCAAAAGAGUCUUUAAGCUACAGUGUU